UUUAUCUGUUGAACACCAAACAUAAACAGAAAGAAGUAAUAAACUCAUUAUUUUCAUUAAUUUUACAAAGUAAACAAUUUGUUUGCAUUUGCGCGAGCAUAUUCACGCAGCGCUGUCUCGCGAGUGCACUGCACGUUUUUGAAUUCCAACGGUCGAGAAGAGAUUGAUCCCCGUCUGCUGAUUUAAAUUGAUGGUCUGACGGAAAUAUUGUUGUGCGGAUUUACACUAAAACACGAAAGAGCCUGAACCGCGACAGUGUCACAAGUUGCCUUACAUCGGUAAGUUUUGUUGUGCUUGUUGCAAACUGUUACAUUUUGUGUUUUCUGAUCCUAAGCUUAGAAAAAAAAGAUGCAAGACUGCAAACUUUCCAGUACUCCUGUGUACUGAUAAUCCGCUUUCCACCCAGUCCCAGGAGAUUAUAUUAAACCUGGAAAAUAUUGGAGAAGAUCAAUUAAGUUUUCAGGAGCACAUUACUGUGAUAAAUGCUGAACUAUGUAAAAGAAAACCUGACUACACCAACAUAUCAAAAAUCUAAUGAGAUGCGCUCUUUUUAAAAGAGUUGAUUUAAUGACAAAAUCAACAUGAGGUCAUGGACAUGUCCCCAUUUCUUCGGGUUCCACAA
Long non-coding RNA from Carassius carassius (crucian carp), 622 nucleotides. RefSeq lists it as uncharacterized. NCBI's taxonomy places the organism in Eukaryota, Metazoa, Chordata, Actinopteri, Cypriniformes, Cyprinidae. The record is from RefSeq and is a predicted model, not a curated record. The transcript has 3 exons.